RNAcentral lists this ribosomal RNA (520 nucleotides) under uncultured fungus. RNAcentral describes it as "SSU rRNA". It matches the Rfam family "Eukaryotic small subunit ribosomal RNA", at positions 30 to 554 of the family's 1831-position model. Lineage: Eukaryota; Fungi. The record is from RNAcentral.
GCUUGUCUCAAAGAUUAAGCCAUGCAUGUCUAAGUAUAAGCAAUUAUACGGCGAAACUGCGAAUGGCUCAUUAUAUAAGUUAUCGUUUAUUUGAUAGUACUUUACUACUUGGAUAACCGUGGUAAUUCUAGAGCUAAUACAUGCUUAAAAUCCCGACUUCGGAAGGGAUGUAUUUAUUAGACUAAAAACCAAUGCCCUUCGGGGCUCCUUGGUGAUUCAUGAUAACUUCUCGAAUCGCAUGGCCUUGUGCCGGCGAUGGUUCAUUCAAAUUUCUUCCCUAUCAACUUUCGAUGUUUGGGUAUUGGCCAAACAUGGUUGCAACGGGUAACGGAGGGUUAGGGCUCGACCCCGGAGAAGGAGCCUGAGAAACGGCUACUACAUCCAAGGAAGGCAGCAGGCGCGCAAAUUACCCAAUCCCGACUCGGGGAGGUAGUGACAAUAAAUACUGAUACAGGGUUCUUUUGGAUCUUGUAAUUGGAAUGAGUACAAUUUAAAUCCCUUAACGAGGAACAAUUGGAGG